Molecule: unclassified non-coding RNA, 266 nt
Filed under: Hevea brasiliensis (rubber tree)
Lineage: Eukaryota; Viridiplantae; Streptophyta; Magnoliopsida; Malpighiales; Euphorbiaceae
Source: RNAcentral
AAAGCAUUCAGAUGUUAUUGAAAUUAGUGUCAUAUGCAGAGCAUAAGACCCCAUUGUAAACAACUUUGCACACAAGAUAUGUAAGGUAAGCUAUGAUGCGAUAAUAUCAACAUGCAACUUAUGCAAUUUGAAUACUAUAUAUAUCCCUUAUUAGAGGGAGCAACUAUAAAAUUGUCAAACAUUCCAACUCUCUUGAGCUACAAAUUAUGCAGUCCGAACCUGGGAUUGACCCAAAAUAAAACUAAUAACAUUCUCCUGAGGGCUAG